GUGCUCACUUUGGCAGCACAUAUACUAAAAUUGGAAUGACACAGAGAAGAUUAGCAUGCCCCUGUACAGGGAUGACACAAAAAUUCAUGAAAAGUUCCAUAUCUUU
RNAcentral lists this small nuclear RNA (106 nucleotides) under Zalophus californianus (California sea lion). Lineage: Eukaryota; Metazoa; Chordata; Mammalia; Carnivora; Otariidae. The record is from RNAcentral.